ACUCCUACGGGAGGCAGCAGUGGGGAAUAUUGCACAAUGGGCGCAAGCCUGAUGCAGCCAUGCCGCGUGUAUGAAGAAGGCCUCGGUUGUAAGUACUUUCUAGCAGUGAGGAAGGUGGGUAGUGUUAAUAGCAUACUCAUUUUGUACGUUUAGUCUGCAGAAGAAGCACCGGCUAACUCCGUGCCAGCAGCCGCGGUAAUACGGAGGGUGCGAGCGUUAAUCGGAAUUACUGGCGUAAAGCGCAUGCAGGUGGUUUGUUAAGUUCAGAUGUGAAAGCCGGGGCGUCAACCUCGGAAUUGCAUUUGAAACUGGCAAACUAGAGUACUGUAGAGGGGGUAGAAUUUCAGGUGUAGCGGUG
RNAcentral lists this ribosomal RNA (358 nucleotides) under uncultured bacterium. RNAcentral describes it as "bacterial SSU rRNA". It matches the Rfam family "Bacterial small subunit ribosomal RNA", at positions 335 to 683 of the family's 1533-position model. The record is from RNAcentral.